RNAcentral lists this ribosomal RNA (253 nucleotides) under uncultured bacterium. RNAcentral's name for it is "partial 16S ribosomal RNA". It matches the Rfam family "Bacterial small subunit ribosomal RNA", at positions 524 to 776 of the family's 1533-position model. The record is from RNAcentral.
UACGUAUGGUGCAAGCGUUAUCCGGAUUUACUGGGUGUAAAGGGAGCGUAGACGGAUAGGCAAGUCUGGAGUGAAAACCCGGGGCUCAACCCCGGGACUGCUUUGGAAACUGUUUAUCUAGAGUGCUGGAGAGGUAAGUGGAAUUCCUAGUGUAGCGGUGAAAUGCGUAGAUAUUAGGAGGAACACCAGUGGCGAAGGCGGCUUACUGGACGGUAACUGACGUUGAGGCUCGAAAGCGUGGGGAGCAAACAGG